This 523-nucleotide ribosomal RNA is filed under the name uncultured bacterium. RNAcentral describes it as "bacterial SSU rRNA". It matches the Rfam family "Bacterial small subunit ribosomal RNA", at positions 24 to 518 of the family's 1533-position model. The record is from RNAcentral.
UCAGAACGAACGGACUGGCGGCGUGGCGUUAACACAUGCAAGUCGAACGCAAAGGGGAACUCGGUCCUGAGUAAAGUAGGCGGCACGGGUGAGUAACGCGUAGAUAACCUGUCUUCAUGUACUGGAAUAAUAACGCCGAAAGGGGUACGUAAUACCGGAUAUUCUUGCUUUUCAUAAGUUAUGCAAGCAAAGGUGGCCUCUGCAUAUGCUACUGCAUGAAGAGGGGUCUGCGUACCAUUAGCUAGUAGGUGGGGUAAUGGCCUACCUAGGCGACGAUGGUUAGCGGGUCUGAGAGGAUGAUCCGCCACACUGGCACUGGAACACGGGCCAGACUCCUACGGGAGGCAGCAGUGAGGAAUAUUGCGCAAUGGGGGAAACCCUGACGCAGCGACGCCGCGUGAGUGAGGAAGGUCUUCGGGUCGUAAAGCUCUGUCAAGAGGAAAGAAGUGUACAAUGGCUAAUACCUGUUGUAUUUGACGGUACCUCUAAAGGAAGCACCGGCUAACUCCGUGCCAGCCGCCGC